Long non-coding RNA from Alligator sinensis (Chinese alligator), 1794 nucleotides. RefSeq lists it as uncharacterized. The transcript has 3 exons. The record is from RefSeq and is a predicted model, not a curated record. Lineage: Eukaryota; Metazoa; Chordata; Crocodylia; Alligatoridae.
CGCAUGCCCGCGGGCCCCCGGCCCCGCCCCCCCGCCCUUGUGUGGGGCCCGAGACCCGCUGAGGUGCUCUGCUUGGGCACCGCUGGGCUGGCCAGGGGGGCCGGCGCGUCUCUGCAGGACGUGGUGUGAAGGAAAGCAGCGGCCACGUCCUCCACCUCUUGUACGGAGCCCGAUGCAGAAGCCCCCGUCCUGGCAGAGGAGUAGGCUGGGGAGGAGCCCUCAAGCAGGGCAGGCCCAAGCUAUUUUGCAUCUGAUUGCAGACUUCCAUCUGGAGACAACAUCCAAUAUCACGUGCAUGAGAAUCGCUUUAACUACAACUGGUCACAUUGCAAAUCCAAGGUAACCAAUGCCUCCGUUACUUCAAUACGCUGACAAUUUUCUAAUGUGUGCUUGCACAAUUGAAAAGCUCCAGGGCACUCUUGAUUGCUUCUGUGAAGCAUAUGAAACACUUGGACUUAGUCAACUUCACAUAAACCAAGAUACUUUGCCAACCCAUGCCAAACCAACCAACUGUUCCUUCAUACAUUACAAUUAGAGGGCAAUCCUUGGAGAAUGUUGAGCAUUUCCCCUACCUGGGUAGCUACUUUUCCCAAAAAGUAAACAGAGAUUACAAUAUUCAACACCAGGUUAAAUCUACCACUGCUGCUUUUGGACAUCUCUGAAAUUGUGUCUUCAAUGAUCAUAACAUCAGGACCCAAACCAAACUUCUCAUCUACCACACUGCUGUCAUCCCUACCCCAUUGUAUGGGUGUGAGACUUGGAUGAUGUAUUGAAAACACCGGAAAGCUUUGGGAUGUUGCCAUCAACAAUGUCUUCAGAAAAUCCUCCAUAUCAACUGGAAGGACAAAAGAAUGAACACCAGUAUUCUGGCUCAAGCAAACACUCCCCGCAUUGAAGCCAUGAAUAUACAGCACCAACUUUGCUAAAGAGGACAUGUCAGAACGAUGCCUAACAACUGGCUCCCAAAACAAGUCCUAUACUCCCAACUCACCAAUGAUCACCACUCCAAAGGUGGGUAAAAGGAAAGAUUCAAGGACACUUUGAAGGCCAAUCAGAAAAAAUGCAAUAUUAAUAUCAAUACCUGGGAGACUCAAGCACUGAAUCAUCUCCCAAUGACACCAUGGUAUAUGACUAGGCAUUGAUCAUUUUGAGCAAAGUCACCUCACUUUGGAGGUGGAUAGAUGAGAGAGACAAAGGGAAAGGGCUUGGAAGAACUCAACAUCACCAGGUUCUUCUAGAUCUAUUUGCUACGUCUUCAAUAAAAUAUGUGGAUCUCAGAUUUGCCGACUCAGUCAUCUUUGAAUCAAGGAACUGACAAUGAUGCCAACUUCAGAUAGGACAGAGGUAUAACUCGGGGAACCUUAAUUUUAAAAAGUUAGAUACCUCUGGACUUUAAAUGACUCAAGGGUUAGGCACCAGCUGAGCAGAGAUUUUGAGCACUGUAGCUUUGCACUCGAGUGUGUCCACAAAAGGAAUGUUUAUGUCAGUAAUGUGAAAGACAAUAUAGACGAGAAAUACAAAGUAUUUUUUGCUUGAUGAGGAAAUCCCAGCAACUGCAGACUAUGCUAGAGAUGUCCAUUCAGGAGAGAGAGAGAGCGUGUAUGUAUGUAUAUAAAUUAGGGCUGUCAAUCGCAGUUAACUUACAGGAUCAAGGCAAAAACAAAUUAACCCAUUUAUUUUUUUUAAUUGUGUAAAUUGCAAACAUUGUUUUGACCAGGGGAGCAGACCAGCUGGACCCCAUGUGCACAGCCCUGACCUAAUGCCUGCUCCAGACACCCGCCCAUGCUGAGCAGU